GGAUGUGGCUCAAUAGGUAGCGCGCUCACCUGGCAUGUGCAGGGUGCUGGGUUCGAUCCUCAGCACCA
This 68-nucleotide transfer RNA is filed under the name Marmota monax (woodchuck). Its description in RNAcentral is "tRNA.Ala". Lineage: Eukaryota; Metazoa; Chordata; Mammalia; Rodentia; Sciuridae. The record is from RNAcentral.